UACGGAGGGUGCGAGCGUUGUCCGGAAUUACUGGGUGUAAAGCGCGUGUAGGCGGGAGGCCAAGUCUGUGGUGAAAUCGCUCGGCUUAACUGGGCGGGGUCCAUGGAAACUGGUCACCUGGAGGUCGGUAGAGGCAAGUGGAAUUCCCGGUGUAGUGGUGAAAUGCGUAGAGAUCGGGAGGAACACCAGUGGCGAAGGCGGCUUGCUGGGCCGGACCUGACGCUGAGACGCGAAGGCGUGGGGAGCGAACGGG
RNAcentral lists this ribosomal RNA (253 nucleotides) under uncultured bacterium. RNAcentral describes it as "partial 16S ribosomal RNA". It matches the Rfam family "Bacterial small subunit ribosomal RNA", at positions 524 to 776 of the family's 1533-position model. The record is from RNAcentral.